AUGCUUACUCGUCAUGUAAUUGACAUCUCGGGUCAAAUGAAGACAUUCAUUUGGAUGAAGGGCACACCAGAUUGGGUAAUGAUCAAUGCCCAACCAAGAGAUCAGUGUGACGUUGAUGCAAUUUGUGGGCCUUUCACAAUCUGCAAUGAUAAUAAUUUUCCACAAUGCAAUUGUAUGGAGGGCUUCACAAUAACAUCCCCCAAGGACUGGGACCUAGAAGAUCGAGCAGGUGGGUGCUCGAGGAAGACUAAGUUAGACUGCAUUAGCAAUAGAGGCACAACGCAUACCACAGACAAGUUCUAUUCUAUGCCAUGUGUUAAGUUGCCCAAGGAUGCCCCAGAAGUAGAUGCUGCUGCAAGUGCAAGUGAGUGCGCACAAGUUUGCCUGAAUAAUUGCUCUUGCACAGCCUACUCCUUUGGCGACAAUGGAUGUUCUAUGUGGCAUAAUAAAUUGCUCAACAUAAGAGCACUACCAUGUAGUGGCACUGCCAAUUCUAACGGAGAAACUCUUUACCUCCGUCUUUCUGCUAAAGAUGUACAAAGUUUGAAAAACAACAGAAGAGGAAUUGUUAUUGGAAUUGUCACUGGUACAGGCGUUUUUGUUUUAGGCCUAUUUGCACUUAUCCUCUUAAUAAUGAUCCAGAGAAACAAAAAGAAGAACUCUGGUCAGAUACUGAGUGAUUCUCAAGUUUGUACUGGAAUCAUUGCAUUCGGAUACAAUGAUCUACAACGGGCAACAAACAAAUUCACAGAUAAGUUGGGGGUAGGCGGUUUUGGUUCUGUAUUCAAGGGGUUUAUAAAGGGCUCCAAUGCCGUAGCAGUGAAGAUGCUCGAUGGUGCUUAUCAAGGAGAGAAGCAAUUCAGAGCCGAAGUGAGCACAAUCGGAGCUGUUCAACACAUCAAUUUGGUUAAGCUUGUUGGUUUCUGUUGUGAUGGUUCCAAGAGGUUGCUUGUUUAUGAAUACAUGUCAAAUCACUCUCUUGAUGUCCAUCUAUUUCGAAGCAAUUCUACCAUGUUGAAUUGGACUGCUAGAUAUCAGAUAGGCCUAGGAGUUGCAAGAGGGUUGGCCUACUUGCAUGACAGCUGCCGAGACUGCAUCAUACACUGUGAUAUCAAGCCAGAAAACAUACUUCUUGAUUCUUCACUCCUUCCAAAAAUUGCAGACUUUGGAAUGGCAAAACUUAUAGGAAGGGAUUAUAGCCGAGUAUUGACAACAAUGAGAGGAACUACAGGGUACCUUGCGCCUGAAUGGAUAAGCGGUGUUCCUAUUACACCAAAAGUCGAUGUUUAUAGCUACGGGAUGGUGUUGCUGGAAAUAAUAUCUGGAAGGAGGAACUCAUGUGCAUCAUGUCCUAGUGGUGGCAAUGUUGAUGUUUAUUUCCCUGUGUAUGCCUCACAUAAGCUUCUCAAAGGAGACAUCAAGGGUUUGGUAGAUCACAAGCUAGAUGGCGACAUCAAAUUGGAUGAGGUUGAACUGGCUUGCAAGGUUGCAUGUUGGUGCAUCCAGGAUGAUGAGCUUGAUCGGCCAACAAUGGGACAGGUAGUUCAAUUUCUCGAAGGCCUGGUUGAGAUCACAAUGCCCCCGGUACCAAGAUUGCUCCAAGCUAUGGCCGGAAGCGCACAUCAAAAAUGCUCCUAA
This 1638-nucleotide ribosomal RNA is filed under the name Triticum aestivum (bread wheat). RNAcentral describes it as "partial small subunit ribosomal RNA". The record is from RNAcentral. Lineage: Eukaryota; Viridiplantae; Streptophyta; Magnoliopsida; Poales; Poaceae.